RNAcentral lists this ribosomal RNA (460 nucleotides) under uncultured bacterium. Its description in RNAcentral is "partial 16S ribosomal RNA". It matches the Rfam family "Bacterial small subunit ribosomal RNA", at positions 338 to 795 of the family's 1533-position model. The record is from RNAcentral.
CCUACGGGAGGCUGCAGUGAGGAAUAUUGGUCAAUGGGCUUACGCCUGAACCAGCCAAGUCGCGUGAGGGACGACUGCCCUAUGGGUUGUAAACCUCUUUUGUCAGGGAGCAACGCCGGCUACGUGUAGCCGGACUGAGAGUACCUGAAGAAAAAGCCUCGGCUAACUCCGUGCCAGCAGCCGCGGUAAUACGGAGGAUGCGAGCGUUAUCCGGAUUUAUUGGGUUUAAUGGGUGCGUAGGCGGAAUGCCAAGUCAGCGGUAAAAGCGCGGGGCUCAACCUCGCGCCGCCGGUGAAACUGGCGGUAGUGAGGGGGCGAGAAGUAUGCGGAAUGCGUGGUGUAGCGGUGAAAUGCAUAGAUAUCACGCAGAACUCCGAUUGCGAAGGCAGCAUACCGGCGCCCAACUGACGCUGAAGCACGAAAGCGUGGGUAUCGAACAGGAGUAGAUACCCCUGUAGUC